Molecule: small nuclear RNA, 109 nt
Organism: Otolemur garnettii (small-eared galago)
Lineage: Eukaryota; Metazoa; Chordata; Mammalia; Primates; Galagidae
Source: Ensembl
ACUCUUGAGACUGCAGUAGUGUAAAAUAGAGAGAUGUUAGAUAUAGAGAAGAUUAGCAUUGCCCCUGUGUGAGGAUGACAUACAAAUUCGUGAAGUGUUCCAUAUUUUU